Molecule: non-coding RNA, 2672 nt
Organism: Odocoileus virginianus texanus
Lineage: Eukaryota; Metazoa; Chordata; Mammalia; Artiodactyla; Cervidae
Source: RefSeq, a predicted model, not a curated record
UCAAGAUUUACCAUUAUUAUUGAUAAAUUAUUUCUACCGCCUAAAAGAACUUGCUACAUUUCUUGUCAGUACUUACUGUCAGCAUUCUGAAUUAAGAUCAGGUUCAACAAACAAUGUUUGGUUCCUCAGAUGUGGAAGAAUAAAUAUUUGUUAUGCAACAGUUGUAAUUGUUCCCCUGUUCCCAAAGCAAUUUAAAGUUGGAAUGAGAGAUCAGUGGAAUGGGAAACUUUUGGUGCAUUAGGGACAUUGUCCCACAGACACAAUUAAGAGUGGUGUUGGGAACAAACUGUGUCUGAACUAAAACUCCAAACUGAAAUGACAUUCUCCUACCCAUGUAACAUUUGAAUACAGGAGCAAAUGUUCACCAAAGUAAUUUCAUGAAAUAUGAGAGCUUUUUAGUUCAAAUUAUGACCAAAAUAAUGUUAAUUCAAAGUAAGAACUUAUUAAUUCAAAUGAAAAUUAUCAAAAUGAAAUGCUUGAAUUGAGAAGUAAUCAAUUUAAUUGAUCAGUUCAAUUCAUUGUGAAUUCAAUGACAAAUUUAAUGUUUUUGCUUUUUUAUAUUCAUUGUUCUAGAUAGGUCGAUUUUGUGCAGGAUGGCAUCACAAUUUUGGUAAUGAAAAAAGAUACUGAAAAGCAAUAAAAUAAAUUCCCAGCACAAAAGGGAAUCCAUAUGUUUAAGGCCACAAAAGUAAAGAAGAAAAAGAGCAGGAGGAAGAGGAAAAGCAGGAGAGAGAGGAGGAAGAGGGGAAGAAGUACAGAAUGGGCAGUUAAAGGUAUGAAUUCAGGAAGAUAAACAAUUUAUUACUGAAUUAAAUGUUUUAGGAAAGUUUAUUUUAUUAUACUGUAGAUAAUACCAACCUUUGGCAAAAUUACUCUUCAGAAAUAAAGAGGACAUAACGACUUUCCCACACAAAGCUGAAGGAAUUUAGCACCAUGAUUCACUUUACCAGAAAUGCUAAAAGGAGUUCUUCAAGAGGAAAUGACAGAGAACACUGAUCAAAACCAGAGACAGGGAAAAAUAAUCUUGAACAAGAGAAGAAAGGGAGGUAAAUUGAGAACAGAUGAAACUGCAGAGGUGUUUGUUGGUGGGACCUAGGCAAGAAACUGCUUCUUUUUUCUGACUGAAGUAGGAGGUGGAAUCCUCGGCCAAAAAAGCAAAAGGAUUGCAGAGCAAAGAAGAACUUCAAGAAAUUCAGAUAUGUGAAGUUGAUUUCCAUGGAAACCCCGUCAUCCUCUGAUGACAGUUGUGGCAGCUUUGCUUCUGAUAAUUUUGCAAACACAAGGCUGCAGGUGGACCGUGAGGGCUGUCGGACCCGCAGUCAGGGCACACGGUCUGGACCCCUCCGCGUGGCCAUGAAGUUUCCCACACGACGCACCAGGGGAGCAGCCAGCAAAAGAACCGUGCCCCCUGGGCCCCCGGAGAAUUCUGUGACCGACUCCAAUUCUGACUCGGAAGAUGAAAGUGGCAUGAAUUUCUUGGAGAAAAGGGCUUUAAAUAUAAAGCAAAACAAAGCAAUGCUUGCAAAACUAAUGUCAGAAUUAGAAAGCUUCCCUGGCUCCUUCCCUGGGAGGCGUUCCCUGCCGGGCCCCAGUUCACAUCCAAAGACACCCAGGAGGCGCACGUUUCCAGGUGUCGCCUACAGGAGAAACCCUGAGCGGAGAGCUCGUCCGCUCACCAGGUCCAGGUCCCGGGUCCUUGGGUCACUCAGGGCCCUGCCCACGGAGGAGGAGGAGGAAGAGGAGGACAAAUACUUGUUGGUGAGGAAGAGGAAGCCCAUGGUCGGCUACAUGAAUGAAGAUGACAUGCCCCGAAGUCGUCGCCCCGGACCCAUGACCCUUCCUCAUGUCGUUCGCCCGGUGGAUGAAAUCACGGAGGAAGAGUUGGAGAACAUCUGCAACAACUCCCGAGAGAAGAUCUAUAACCGUUCACUGGGGUCAACUUGUCAUCAGUGCCGUCGAUACCAAGACAAACUGCAGAAACCCAGAGUGCUGGGGCGUUCGAGGCCAAUUCUGUGGUCCCUGCCUUCGAAACCGUUAUGGUGAAGAAGUCAGGGAUGCUCUGCUAGACCCAAACUGGCACUGCCCACCAUGUCGAGGGAUCUGCAACUGCAGCUUCUCUCGGCAGCGAGAUGGGCGGUGUGCGACUGGGGUGCUCGUGUACUUAGCCAAGUACCAUGGCUUUGGGAACGUGCAUGCUUACUUGAAAAGUCUAAAACAGGAGUUUGAAAUGCAAGGAUAAUAAUUGGAAGAUCCGCUACCUGCCUUCCACUUCGCAACUCUUCCUUGUUAAAGUUUCCAGCUUUAUCAUGUGAUGGAAAUCCGGGUUAAGAAUUCUGAGGCUCAGUCUGCCUUAUAGGCAAAUCAAGUUGUCGUCAUUAAAUGCGCACGUGUGUCUGGGCAUCCCAGAAGUGUAGUGCCAGCUGUCCUCUGCCCUCCUGCAGUGUCUCCUUUGCUUUUCUGCCCACCCUCGCCCCGUGCUGUCCUCUUACUUUCAAUGAUUCUCCUCCAUCAUUUAGUUUCGGAAUCCUUUUUAAACGACAGUUUCAUGAAAGCAUGUUGGAUUUAAUUGGCGUUGAAAUAGCCCUGGAAUCCACACAUAAAACCAAGCACUUAGAAACACAGUGGUAGUAUUAACUACCUCUACCCAGUUUCAGAGACUAUCCCUGUAACUU